Molecule: long non-coding RNA, 205 nt
Organism: Cuculus canorus (common cuckoo)
Lineage: Eukaryota; Metazoa; Chordata; Aves; Cuculiformes; Cuculidae
Rfam family: Rhabdomyosarcoma 2 associated transcript conserved region 6
Source: Rfam
GGAUGAUUGAUUGUACCCGCCAGCUGGCUAACAUCAUAAUUAACAAAGUUGCUACCAUGUCUGAGAAGUUUAAUCGAAAAAAUUGCUGGCAGUAUGAUGGCAUUGUCACAGAGAUCACAAGCGCUGUGGUGUCGACUUUUGUAGUGGUAGUAAAGCCGCAAGACUAUGUAGAUGUACUGCGAAGUCGUUCACUGGGAUAACUAAA